ACGGGUGAGUAACACGUGGGCAAUCUGCCCUUCACUCUGGGACAAGCCCUGGAAACGGGGUCUAAUACCGGAUAUCACUGCCACUCGCAUGGGUGGUGGUUGAAAGCUCCGGCGGUGAAGGAUGAGCCCGCGGCCUAUCAGCUUGUUGGUGAGGUAAUGGCUCACCAAGGCGACGACGGGUAGCCGGCCUGAGAGGGCGACCGGCCACACUGGGACUGAGACACGGCCCAGACUCCUACGGGAGGCAGCAGUGGGGAAUAUUGCACAAUGGGCGAAAGCCUGAUGCAGCGACGCCGCGUGAGGGAUGACGGCCUUCGGGUUGUAAACCUCUUUCAGCAGGGAAGAAGCGAAAGUGACGGUACCUGCAGAAGAAGCGCCGGCUAACUACGUGCCAGCAGCCGCGGUAAUACGUAGGGCGCAAGCGUUGUCCGGAAUUAUUGGGCGUAAAGAGCUCGUAGGCGGCUUGUCACGUCGGGUGUGAAAGCCCGGGGCUUAACCCCGGGUCUGCAUUCGAUACGGGCUAGCUAGAGUGUGGUAGGGGAGAUCGGAAUUCCUGGUGUAGCGGUGAAAUGCGCAGA
RNAcentral lists this ribosomal RNA (578 nucleotides) under uncultured bacterium. RNAcentral describes it as "bacterial SSU rRNA". It matches the Rfam family "Bacterial small subunit ribosomal RNA", at positions 102 to 694 of the family's 1533-position model. The record is from RNAcentral.